UACAGAUGGAACCCGCGGCGCAUUAGCUAGUUGGUGAGGUAACGGCUCACCAAGGCAACGAUGCGUAGCCGACCUGAGAGGGUGAUCGGCCACACUGGGACUGAGACACGGCCCAGACUCCUACGGGAGGCAGCAGUAGGGAAUCUUCCGCAAUGGACGAAAGUCUGACGGAGCAACGCCGCGUGAGUGAUGAAGGUUUUCGGAUCGUAAAGCUCUGUUGUUAGGGAAGAACAAGUACCGUUCGAAUAGGGCGGUACCUUGACGGUACCUAACCAGAAAGCCACGGCUAACUACGUGCCAGCAGCCGCGGUAAUACGUAGGUGGCAAGCGUUGUCCGGAAUUAUUGGGCGUAAAGGGCUCGCAGGCGGUUUCUUAAGUCUGAUGUGAAAGCCCCCGGCUCAACCGGGGAGGGUCAUUGGAAACUGGGGAACUUGAGUGCAGAAGAGGAGAGUGGAAUUCCACGUGUAGCGGUGAAAUGCGUAGAGAUGUGGAGGAACACCAGUGGCGAAGGCGACUCUCUGGUCUGUAACUGACGCUGAGGAGCGAAAGCGUGGGGAGCGAACAGGAUUAGAUACCCUGGUAGUCCACGCCGUAAACGAUGAGUGCUAAGUGUUAGGGGGUUUCCGCCCCUUAGUGCUGCAGCUAACGCAUUAAGC
Molecule: ribosomal RNA, 656 nt
Filed under: Bacillus subtilis
Lineage: Bacteria; Bacillati; Bacillota; Bacilli; Caryophanales; Bacillaceae
Description: bacterial SSU rRNA
Rfam family: Bacterial small subunit ribosomal RNA
Source: RNAcentral